GACCUGGUGGUGCAAUGGUUAAGCACUUGGCUGCUAACCAAAAGGCUGCUGGUUCAAAUCCACCCAGCAUCU
RNAcentral lists this transfer RNA (72 nucleotides) under Loxodonta africana (African savanna elephant). It matches the Rfam family "tRNA". From Rfam's summary of the family: Transfer RNA (tRNA) molecules are approximately 80 nucleotides in length. Their secondary structure includes four short double-helical elements and three loops (D, anti-codon, and T loops). Lineage: Eukaryota; Metazoa; Chordata; Mammalia; Proboscidea; Elephantidae. The record is from Rfam by way of RNAcentral.